GACGAACGCUGGCGGCGUGCUUAACACAUGCAAGUCGAACGGAAAGGCCCUGCUUUUGUGGGGUGCUCGAGUGGCGAACUGGUGAGUAACACUUGAGUAACCUGCCCUUGACUUUGGGAUAACUUCAUGAAACUUGGGCUAAUACCGGAUAGGAGCUCCUGCUUCAUGGUGGGGGUUGGAAAGUUUCGGCGGUUGGGGAUGGACUCGCGGCUUAUCAGCUUGUUGGUGGGGUAGUGGCUUACCAAGGCUUUGACGGGUAGCCGGCCUGAGAGGGUGACCGGCCAAAUUGGGACUGAGAUACGGCCCAGACUCCUACGGGAGGCAGCAGUGGGGAAUAUUGCACAAUGGGCGGAAGCCUGAUGCAGCAAAGCCGCGUGCGGGAUGACGGCCUUCGGGUUGUAAACCGCUUUCGCCUGUGACGAAGCGUGAGUGACGGUAAUGGGUAAAGAAGCACCGGCUAACUACGUG
This 468-nucleotide ribosomal RNA is filed under the name uncultured bacterium. Its description in RNAcentral is "partial 16S ribosomal RNA". It matches the Rfam family "Bacterial small subunit ribosomal RNA", at positions 28 to 507 of the family's 1533-position model. The record is from RNAcentral.